Molecule: ribosomal RNA, 253 nt
Filed under: uncultured bacterium
Lineage: Bacteria
Description: partial 16S ribosomal RNA
Rfam family: Bacterial small subunit ribosomal RNA
Source: RNAcentral
UACAGAGGCCUCGAGCGUUAAUCGGAGUCACUGGGCUUAAAGGGUGCGUAGGCGGUUCUUCAAGUGUCUUGUGAAAUCCCACAGCUCAACUGUGGAAUUGCUCGAUAGACUGGAGAACUUGAGGUUGGUAGAGGUUACUGGAACUCUAGGUGGAGCGGUGAAAUGCCUAGAUAUCUAGAGGAACACCGAACGUGAAGACAGGUAACUGGGCCAAUUCUGACGCUGAGGCACGAAAGCGUGGGGAGCAAACGGG